AGCUGAUCACUGGGCAUAAAGCGUGCGCAGGCGGUUUUGUAAGACAGAGGUGAAAUCCCCGGGCUCAACCUGGGAACUGCCUUUGUGACUGCAAAGCUGGAGUGCGGCAGAGGGGGAUGGAAUUCCGCGUGUAGCAGUGAAAUGCGUAGAUAUGCGGAGGAACACCGAUGGCGAAGGCAAUCCCCCUGGGCCCGCACUGACGCUCAUGCACGAAAGCGUGGGGAGCAAACA
RNAcentral lists this ribosomal RNA (231 nucleotides) under uncultured Alicycliphilus sp. Its description in RNAcentral is "partial 16S ribosomal RNA". It matches the Rfam family "Bacterial small subunit ribosomal RNA", at positions 550 to 774 of the family's 1533-position model. The record is from RNAcentral. Lineage: Bacteria; Pseudomonadati; Pseudomonadota; Betaproteobacteria; Burkholderiales; Comamonadaceae.